This 255-nucleotide ribosomal RNA is filed under the name Kiloniella laminariae. RNAcentral describes it as "partial 16S ribosomal RNA". It matches the Rfam family "Bacterial small subunit ribosomal RNA", at positions 1099 to 1356 of the family's 1533-position model. Lineage: Bacteria; Pseudomonadati; Pseudomonadota; Alphaproteobacteria; Rhodospirillales; Kiloniellaceae. The record is from RNAcentral.
CAACCCCUACCUUUAGUUGCCAGCAUUCAGUUGGGCACUCUAGAGGGACUGCCGGUGAUAAGCCGGAGGAAGGCGGGGAUGACGUCAAGUCCUCAUGGCCCUUAUGGGCUGGGCUACACACGUGCUACAAUGGUAACUACAGUGGGCAGCGACGUCGCGAGGCGAAGCUAAUCUCCAAAAGUUAUCUCAGUUCGGAUUGUUCUCUGCAACUCGAGAGCAUGAAGGUGGAAUCGCUAGUAAUCGUAGAUCAGCAUG